This 81-nucleotide transfer RNA is filed under the name Bacteroidota bacterium. Its description in RNAcentral is "tRNA-Leu". It matches the Rfam family "tRNA". From Rfam's summary of the family: Transfer RNA (tRNA) molecules are approximately 80 nucleotides in length. Their secondary structure includes four short double-helical elements and three loops (D, anti-codon, and T loops). Lineage: Bacteria; Pseudomonadati; Bacteroidota. The record is from RNAcentral.
ACCCAGGUGGCGGAACGGUAGACGCGCUGGUCUCAAACACCAGUGAAGCAAUUCGUGCGGGUUCAAGUCCCGCCCUGGGUA